UACGUAGGGUGCAAGCGUUAAUCGGAAUUACUGGGCGUAAAGCGUGCGUAGACGGUCAAGUAAGUCGGGUGUGAAAGCCCCGGGCUCAACCUGGGAAUUGCAUUCGAGACUGCGUGGCUAGGGUGCGGAAGAGGGAAGCGGAAUUUCCGGUGUAGCGGUGAAAUGCGUAGAUAUCGGAAGGAACACCAGUGGCGAAAGCGGCUUCCUGGUCCAGCACCGACGUUCAGGCACGAAAGCGUGGGGAGCAAACAGG
Molecule: ribosomal RNA, 253 nt
Filed under: uncultured bacterium
Lineage: Bacteria
Description: partial 16S ribosomal RNA
Rfam family: Bacterial small subunit ribosomal RNA
Source: RNAcentral